Ailuropoda melanoleuca (giant panda) is the source of this 876-nucleotide long non-coding RNA. RefSeq lists it as uncharacterized. The record is from RefSeq and is a predicted model, not a curated record. Lineage: Eukaryota; Metazoa; Chordata; Mammalia; Carnivora; Ursidae. The transcript is spliced from 5 exons.
UUUGUGCCCCUCCCUUUUCCACAGUCUGGCUACAUCUCUCCAGCAGAGGUCCCAUCUCCUGAUCUCUUGGUGGAUGACCCUCUCCGCCCAGUGCUUGCUUGCUCUGUCUCUCAGUUCCGGUACCCACUCUGUCCUCUUCACACUUAGGAAUGGUAAAGCUAUCAGCAGUUGAAUGUCAAAUCGAUGGUUCAAAGGCAACAGCAAUGGAAGAGGCACAUCCUUGAGAGCUGCAACCUGGGCCCCAUAAAGACAACUGCGGUCCCAGAAGCAGAUGAUCCUCCUUCUGACGAAUCAUCAGACGGUCAAUAGCCGCCUUAACUUACCUCACGAUGCCUACGUCAUUCACCUCCCUUCGUCUCAUCGCAUAGGCGUUUUAUCAUCUCCCGGUAUCGCAGGAAGGUUUGUGCUGCAUGUCUCAGAUGCAUUGGCAACGCUGUGGGUAUCACUCAGUGCACCUGCUCUGUAUGCUUUACCUAGCAAGUCUCUACUGGGCAGUGUCCCUCACACCGCACGAAAACCAGCAGUAGUCCAAGAAGGGUGUUUGGGUGCUUCUUUCUAGCUUGCUGGCUCUCAUGAAGCCACUGCCAUGUGGGAGAGGUGUACAUGGCAAGGAAGUAAGGAUGCCCCCCCCGCCACCGCCCCGGCCCGACGUAGAGAAUCUGAGACAUUCAGUCCAAGAAGCCACAAAGAAAGGAAUCCUGCCAACUAGCACCUGAGUGAACUAGGGGAAGCUAGCUGCUCCUUCCUGAGUUGAGCUAUGAAGUGAAUACGGACCCAGCCAACACCUUGAUUGCAGCAUAUGAGAGGACCUGAAGCAGAGCCCCUACUGAUCUGUGUUUGGAAUCCUGACCCAUCAAAACUAGGAGCUAAUAAAUG